RNAcentral lists this ribosomal RNA (610 nucleotides) under uncultured bacterium. RNAcentral's name for it is "bacterial SSU rRNA". It matches the Rfam family "Bacterial small subunit ribosomal RNA", at positions 338 to 951 of the family's 1533-position model. The record is from RNAcentral.
CCUACGGGAGGCAGCAGUGAGGAAUAUUGGACAAUGGGCGCAAGCCUGAUCCAGCCAUGCCGCGUGCAGGAAGACGGUCCUAUGGAUUGUAAACUGCUUUUAUACAGGAAGAAACACUCGGACGUGUCCGAACUUGACGGUACUGUAUGAAUAAGCAUCGGCUAACUCCGUGCCAGCAGCCGCGGUAAUACGGAGGAUGCAAGCGUUAUCCGGAAUCAUUGGGUUUAAAGGGUCCGUAGGCGGUCAUAUAAGUCAGUGGUGAAAGCCCAUCGCUCAACGAUGGAACGGCCAUUGAUACUGUUUGACUUGAAUUAUUAGGAAGUAACUAGAAUAUGUAGUGUAGCGGUGAAAUGCUUAGAGAUUACAUGGAAUACCAAUUGCGAAGGCAGGUUACUACUAAUAUAUUGACGCUGAUGGACGAAAGCGUGGGGAGCGAACAGGAUUAGAUACCCUGGUAGUCCACGCCGUAAACGAUGGAUACUAGCUGUUCGGAGCAAUCUGAGUGGCUAAGCGAAAGUGAUAAGUAUCCCACCUGGGGAGUACGUUCGCAAGAAUGAAACUCAAAUGAAAUUGACCGGNNGAGAGNGCGAGGACGACACGAGGGAGGAGG